RNAcentral lists this ribosomal RNA (253 nucleotides) under uncultured bacterium. Its description in RNAcentral is "partial 16S ribosomal RNA". It matches the Rfam family "Bacterial small subunit ribosomal RNA", at positions 524 to 776 of the family's 1533-position model. The record is from RNAcentral.
UACGAAGGACCCGAGCGUUAUCCGGAUUUAUUGGGUUUAAAGGGUGCGUAGGCGGAACAGUAAGUCAGUGGUGAAAGCCUGUUGCUUAACAACAGAAUUGCCAUCGAUACUGCUGAUCUUGAGUACAUAUGAUGUGGGCGGAAUGUGCCAUGUAGCGGUGAAAUGCUUAGAUAUGGCACAGAACACCGAUUGCGAAGGCAGCUCACAAAACUGUUACUGACGCUGAGGCACGAAAGCGUGGGGAUCAAACAGG